AGUACCGUGAGGGAAAGGCGAAAAGAACCCCGGCGAGGGGAGUGAAAAAGAACCUGAAACCGUGUACGUACAAGCAGUGGGAGCCUCUUAAUGGGGUGACUGCGUACCUUUUGUAUAAUGGGUCAGCGACUUAUAUUCUGUAGCAAGGUUAACCGAAUAGGGGAGCCGAAGGGAAACCGAGUCUUAACUGGGCGUUAAGUUGCAGGGUAUAGACCCGAAACCCGGUGAUCUAGCCAUGGGCAGGUUGAAGGUUGGGUAACACUAACUGGAGGACCGAACCGACUAAUGUUGAAAAAUUAGCGGAUGACUUGUGGCUGGGGGUGAAAGGCCAAUCAAACCGGGAGAUAGCUGGUUCUCCCCGAAAGCUAUUUAGGUAGCGCCUCGUGAAUUCAUCUCCGGGGGUAGAGCACUGUUUCGGCAAGGGGGUCAUCCCGACUUACCAACCCGAUGCAAACUGCGAAUACCGGAGAAUGUUAUCACGGGAGACACACGGCGGGUGCUAACGUCCGUCGUGAAGAGGGAAACAACCCAGACCGCCAGCUAAGGUCCCAAAGUCAUGGUUAAGUGGGAAACGAUGUGGGAAGGCCCAGACAGCCAGGAUGUUGGCUUAGAAGCAGCCAUCAUUUAAAGAAAGCGUAAUAGCUCACUGGUCGAGUCGGCCUGCGCGGAAGAUGUAACGGGGCUAAACCAUGCACCGAAGCUGCGGCAGCGACACUAUGUGUUGUUGGGUAGGGGAGCGUUCUGUAAGCCUGUGAAGGUGGCCUGUGAGGGUUGCUGGAGGUAUCAGAAGUGCGAAUGCUGACAUAAGUAACGAUAAAGCGGGUGAAAAGCCCGCUCGCCGGAAGACCAAGGGUUCCUGUCCAACGUUAAUCGGGGCAGGGUGAGUCGACCCCUAAGGCGAGGCCGAAAGGCGUAGUCGAUGGGAAACAGGUUAAUAUUCCUGUACUUGGUGUUACUGCGAAGGGGGGACGGAGAAGGCUAUGUUGGCCGGGCGACGGUUGUCCCGGUUUAAGCGUGUAGGCUGGUUUUCCAGGCAAAUCCGGAAAACCAAGGCUGAGGCGUGAUGACGAGGCACUACGGUGCUGAAGUGACAAAUGCCCUGCUUCCAGGAAAAGCCUCUAAGCAUCAGGUAACAUCAAAUCGUACCCCAAACCGACACAGGUGGUCAGGUAGAGAAUACCAAGGCGCUUGAGAGAACUCGGGUGAAGGAACUAGGCAAAAUGGUGCCGUAACUUCGGGAGAAGGCACGCUGAUAUGUAGGUGAAGCGACUUGCUCGUGGAGCUGAAAUCAGUCGAAGAUACCAGCUGGCUGCAACUGUUUAUUAAAAACACAGCACUGUGCAAACACGAAAGUGGACGUAUACGGUGUGACGCCUGCCCGGUGCCGGAAGGUUAAUUGAUGGGGUUAGCGGUAACGCGAAGCUCUUGAUCGAAGCCCCGGUAAACGGCGGCCGUAACUAUAACGGUCCUAAGGUAGCGAAAUUCCUUGUCGGGUAAGUUCCGACCUGCACGAAUGGCGUAAUGAUGGCCAGGCUGUCUCCACCCGAGACUCAGUGAAAUUGAACUCGCUGUGAAGAUGCAGUGUACCCGCGGCAAGACGGAAAGACCCCGUGAACCUUUACUAUAGCUUGACACUGAACAUUGAGCCUUGAUGUGUAGGAUAGGUGGGAGGCUUUGAAGUGUGGACGCCAGUCUGCAUGGAGCCGACCUUGAAAUACCACCCUUUAAUGUUUGAUGUUCUAACGUUGGCCCGUAAUCCGGGUUGCGGACAGUGUCUGGUGGGUAGUUUGACUGGGGCGGUCUCCUCCUAAAGAGUAACGGAGGAGCACGAAGGUUGGCUAAUCCUGGUCGGACAUCAGGAGGUUAGUGCAAUGGCAUAAGCCAGCUUGACUGCGAGCGUGACGGCGCGAGCAGGUGCGAAAGCAGGUCAUAGUGAUCCGGUGGUUCUGAAUGGAAGGGCCAUCGCUCAACGGAUAAAAGGUACUCCGGGGAUAACAGGCUGAUACCGCCCAAGAGUUCAUAUCGACGGCGGUGUUUGGCACCUCGAUGUCGGCUCAUCACAUCCUGGGGCUGAAGUAGGUCCCAAGGGUAUGGCUGUUCGCCAUUUAAAGUGGUACGCGAGCUGGGUUUAGAACGUCGUGAGACAGUUCGGUCCCUAUCUGCCGUGGGCGCUGGAGAACUGAGGGGGGCUGCUCCUAGUACGAGAGGACCGGAGUGGACGCAUCACUGGUGUUCGGGUUGUCAUGCCAAUGGCACUGCCCGGUAGCUAAAUGCGGAAGAGAUAAGUGCUGAAAGCAUCUAAGCACGAAACUUGCCCCGAGAUGAGUUCUCCCUGAGACUUAGAGUCUCCUGAAGGAACGUUGAAGACGACGACGUUGAUAGGCCGGGUGUGUAAGCGCAGCGAUGCGUUGAGCUAACCGGUACUAAUGAACCGUGAGGCUUAACCUU
Molecule: ribosomal RNA, 2448 nt
Filed under: Escherichia coli UMEA 4076-1
Lineage: Bacteria; Pseudomonadati; Pseudomonadota; Gammaproteobacteria; Enterobacterales; Enterobacteriaceae
Description: bacterial LSU rRNA
Rfam family: Bacterial large subunit ribosomal RNA
Source: RNAcentral